Long non-coding RNA from Dama dama (fallow deer), 854 nucleotides. RefSeq lists it as uncharacterized. The record is from RefSeq and is a predicted model, not a curated record. NCBI's taxonomy places the organism in Eukaryota, Metazoa, Chordata, Mammalia, Artiodactyla, Cervidae. The transcript has 3 exons.
AUCUGUAGUCCACUCCUUUCACUGCUUGGGCCGACUUGCUAUUCAUAUUAAGCUUGCUCUCUGCAGGCUCAGCCACUCCAGAAUUCUAGGUGAUAUGGACUGAACUGUGUCCCCCUAAAUUCAUAUGUUGUAGCCCUAGCCUCCCAGUGCUUCAAACUGUGAUGACAUUUGGAGGCAGAGCCUUCACCGAGGUGAUCAAGUGAAAAUGAAGUCAUUAGGAUGGGCCCUAUUCCAGCUGGCUGCUAUCCUAAUAAGAAGAGGAGAUCACACCAGAGGUGAGGUUGCAUGGAGGGGCCACCAUGUGAAGAAGCAACAGGAGGGAGGACACCUGCGAGCCAAGGAGAGAGCCUCAGAGGAAACCAGCCCUGCUGGGACCUUGAUCUUGGAUGUCCAGCCUCCAAACUCCAAUUCACCCAAAGUAGUAAAGACAGACUAGCUUCCAAGUGAGACUUCCUUCAUGCUGCAGUCACAAGAAGGGAAAAAGAAGAAACAGAGAACAAAAAUGUUUCCCCGUUGGGAUUUCAUGCUCUGUCUGAAGUUAUCUCACAAACGGAGGGAAAAUACCAUCAGCGCUGGAGGAGACAAUGACAGAGGGCAGAAAUGUUGAAACUGUGCCCUUUAUCUCCACUUUUACCACUUGCUCUGGGGGAAGCCAGCUGGCAUGUUGAGAGGACACUCAAGCAGACCAAUGGAGAGAUCGGAGAGGCAAAGUACUGAGGGUAGAUUCUCCAGCCCUGGUUAAGCCUUUGGAAGAUGCAAUCUUGGAAAACAUUUUAAUUGAAACUUCAUGGGAGACUCUGAGCCAGAACCACCUAACUGUUUCUAUAUUCCUGACCCACAGAUACUGUGAUAGA